RNAcentral lists this ribosomal RNA (291 nucleotides) under uncultured bacterium. RNAcentral's name for it is "partial 16S ribosomal RNA". It matches the Rfam family "Bacterial small subunit ribosomal RNA", at positions 505 to 796 of the family's 1533-position model. The record is from RNAcentral.
GUGUCAGCCGCCGCGGUAAUACGUAGGUGGCAAGCGUUGUCCGGAUUUAUUGGGCGUAAAGCGCGCGCAGGCGGCUAUGUAAGUCUGAUGUUAAAGCCCGAGGCUCAACCUCGGUUCGCAUUGGAAACUGUGUAGCUUGAGUGCAGAAGAGGAAAGCGGUAUUCCACGUGUAGCGGUGAAAUGCGUAGAGAUGUGGAGGAACACCAGUGGCGAAGGCGGCUUUCUGGUCUGUAACUGACGCUGAGGCGCGAAAGCGUGGGGAGCAAACAGGAUUAGAUACCCUGGUAGUCC